Non-coding RNA from Lupinus albus (white lupine), 274 nucleotides. The record is from the annotation of a GenBank genome assembly. NCBI's taxonomy places the organism in Eukaryota, Viridiplantae, Streptophyta, Magnoliopsida, Fabales, Fabaceae.
UAACAGAAACUUACUUCGUAAUUCUUUUUUUUUAGUUGGGGAGAGAUGGCUGAGUGGACUAAAGCGGCGGAUUGCUAAUCCGUUGUACGAAUUUUUGUACCGAGGGUUCGAAUCCCUCUCUUUCCGCGUUACUUACCACAAUGUUUCAUUUCAAAUAACACAAAUAACCGUGGACAUCAUUAUUCCAACAAAGUUGGAUAUGGAUUUAUUCUCUAUUCCUAAUUUUUUUAUGUAAUACUAAAAAGACUGGAAAAAGUAGGCAAGGAAUAAAACG